CCAGGCGAGGCAGUCAUUUGAGAGUUAAACUUGAGAGCUUGCGAGUGUGACUUUGAACUGCUUUUCUGCAUGCAGUAAAUCAAUUUGAGAGCAGAGAUUUUUGUUCACCUGAAGAAAUACAUACUACAUGUCAAGACUGCACUCUCACAAAUACGACGCGUCCCCACAUGGAUGUCUUUUCUCCCUCUCACACCAACUUUCCAGUUUCCUCUCCAAAAUCCAUUUUGCUCUCACAACCGCUUACUAUAAUUGAAUAAUAGGUAUAAUUCUAGCCAAUGAACAUAGCCUGUAGCAGUCUACUGAAACGCAAUUGGUCAAGUUUUUGGACCAAUCGCGUCUUGACUGCCCUCUAAUCUGAUUUUUUACGAUAGAGAUGAAAGGGGACGGUGAAAGGUGAAUGAUGUCUGACAAUGAAGAGGUAAGUUCCAUAGUUUUUCAGUAGAGAAACUAGCUAGCUAAUUAACUAUGAUUUCAAUAUUGAAAUUGAGUAAGUAGUUAUUUGAUCUUCUGUUAUUAAAGCAGGCUAUUGAUGAGGCAAGCUAGGUUAACAUCAGCUAGCUAGGAAGCUAACUAGCUAACGGUAGCUAGCUAGCUAACAUUUAACCAUGUGGUUUAACUACUGGAUCAGUGUCCCGAAAUCGGGAGAGUUGCUGUUCGAUAUGCGAUAUUUGACUAGAAUGGCGUUGUAAACAAAAGCCAACUUUCUGGGACAUAGACAUGUCUUAUAUGGUCAGAAAGCUUAAAUUAUUGUUAAUCUAACUGCAGUGUCUAAUUUACAGUAGCUAUUACAGUGAACAAAUACCAAGCUAUUGUUUGAGGAUAGUGCACAACAACAAAACACUUUUAUCAAGGCAACUGCUUUGAUACAUUCACCUGACGGUAUAUAAUUUACUUACAUUCAGUAAUCUUGCUCUGAUUUGUCAUCCUGAGGGUCCCAGAGAUAAAAUGUAGCAUUGUUUUGUUUGAUGAAAUCAAUUUUUAUACCCUAACACGAUCCAUGUUGUAUACAGCGUUUCGCAUGAAUUCCAACUCUUUCAACUUGCAACAAAACAAUCUAUGAAAUCUAAACAGCUAAACUUUGUUUCACCCGGUCAAGGUCAGUUUUUGUGCAAUCUUCAGACACUCUAGAAGGUAACCAAACAUUGUUUCAUCAUUCUACAUUACGUAUUGGCUACACAACAUGUCUAAUAGCCCACAAAGGACAGCCAUCAUAACGCACCAAUGAGACGGGCGGUGUUCCCUUGAUUGACAGUCUCUUGGUCCAAUGACCACCUAUCGUUUUCAAACAUAGCUAGUUAGAUAGCCAAUGAGCUGGGCUUUACAUGAGUAUGUGAUGGCCCUUUGUUGGAGUAAUGGCCAUUGUCAUAUGGCUGUGCGCAACGCGAUUCAUUCUCCAUUGAAAAUCUACAGGACACAGGGGAGUUUACGUUACGCAGCGCUCGCUUUCUUCUACAAAGUUUUCUCAAACUUAAAAACUACAACAUGGCUACUAACAGGAUAAACUUCAAGUAUACACAUUUGGACGAGAUUAUUGCAGAAAUUGACCGGGAGAGUGACACGAGGAGUCCUGCGCAUAAGAAAGAUUGAAUGGAGAAGGUAACCUUGUCUUUUUAAAUCAAGAGUAAGAUGACCUGUGGGAGCCAACUUCAAAGACACCUCAUUCAAGUCCAUCCCCCACUCAUUCAAAUGUAGGAACUGGUUUCCCCAGUCAGACCCCUCUGCUGUCUCUGGCUCCGCACCCACCCCUGUCCCGGCCAUCUAGAGGUGUGAAGGUCCACUGUCACUAAUGGUGGUGAAGUUCUCUGCUCAGCUGACAGAAACAGGAGAUACAGGAGUCCAUUCUGUUCCAAAUAGCUUACCUAGGCUCUCCUCCAGGCACAACUCCAUAGUGUUUGUUCCUCUCAUUUCUUUGAUGCUGUAUGAAGGCAUUGUGCAUAGGACAUUUGUCACGUAGAGAGAUGAUGACCAGCUGCUGUCUAUUGGUUAGAAAGAUACAUUCUGUAUAGAACUAUGUGAUAGUCAUUGGUAAAGAAUAUGAGCAGUGUAGGUAAAGGAAGAAGUGAAAACCUAGAGGAGGAUAGCUUUCCCACGAGGUGGGUUAGGCAUGAAAUGACAGCAGGCUGUUUAGUACUGAGCCAAGUUGACUCACAAGUGGUGUGUAUUGGUACAGGGUAAUUCUACAGUAAGAGUGAUGCUGACAUACAAUUUAAAAUGUAUGUCAAAGAAACCAAUGAUUGCAAAUUGUUAAAAUUAGUACUUGUGCAUAGUUGUAUGGUUUGUUUCACUUUGAAAUCAUUGGUCUUUGUUUGACAUACAGUACCAGUCAAAAGUUUGGAUAUACCUACUCAUUCAAGGGUUUUUCUUUAUU
Salmo salar (Atlantic salmon) is the source of this 2368-nucleotide long non-coding RNA. RefSeq lists it as uncharacterized. NCBI's taxonomy places the organism in Eukaryota, Metazoa, Chordata, Actinopteri, Salmoniformes, Salmonidae. The record is from RefSeq and is a predicted model, not a curated record.